UUGUGUUGGCAGGGCUCCUUGCCUUCCCGGAAUGUGUUCCUUCUUGUUUGCCACUCAGUGCUUGGCCCAAAGCCAAACCUGGGCUGCUCAGAAUACCAUGCCCCACUCUCUUCUCUCAUAGGAUCUGAGACAAGGCUCUCUUCCAUUUGGGGAAAGGCCAGGACCUCUCUGCAGCCUCAUCCCACUGGUGCCGACUUCUCUAGGGAUAUCAGACCCCCCAGCUGCUAAGAGCAGAAUCACUGAGGGAGGAUACAGCUGGGACCCCAGCAAAGCAGAGUGUGGCAUACUGAUAUCCUAUCCUAUUGGCAGCCUUCUAAAUAGGGCCAGAGUGGGCAAAGUGUUACUCAUAAGCUAUUCAUUAACUUGUUAAAUGCAAAAGGUUGGCUUAGGCACCACUUUGAGAAAAUGUGACACCCACUGCUCUUGGAUUCACUCUAGCAUGAAGGCAUGUUAAUUGGUGUAGAAUUUCUGAUGCAAGUUUUUCUUUGCUGUUGGUUCCAAAUACCAGGCUAGUCUGUAUGCAUGCUCUCUCUAGUACAUAAAUACUAUUAAAAGAUUUAUUAAGCAUGUUCUAUGGGUUCCCGAUUGUAUGCUUCUAUAGAUGCUAUAGUUUUCUGAGCAAGCACUUAACUGGGUGUAAGGCCCUGUACAAGGUACUUUUUAUAUUUAUCUCAUUUGACUCUUAAUACAAGAAACUCUCAAUACAACAAUACAGUUUUCACACCUUAAACUGAGAUGGAAAGACCAGAAAUAUAAUAUGGAACCCUUUAGGGAGGUUAUUGAGGAAACAAGAUAGAGGGAAGAGCCAUAUAACAGUGAGCCCACAAUAAGUACUAAAGGUAGUGGUACAAAAGGAGACCAACUCAUUGGCAGAGGGGUGUGCAGCAUGUGUGGGCUUCAAAGAAUAAGAUUUGGAUCAGAGGAGAGAUGUGGGGAGGAUCUUCACAAGGUACAUGUUCAGGGGGUAACGUCGGUAAAAGCAUGUUUGUGAAAGAUGGUGCAGAUGAAAGCUUGGGAAAAGCUGAGUUCCUGUUGGGGAAUGAGUACAUAAGUGGGCAAAAUCCCUCAGGAUUUAAAUGCCAGGAUGAGAAGGAAAGACUUGGUCUUUCAGGCAAUGGGGAGCUACUGGAUCUUAGGAGUGAAGGAUACAUUUGGUGGUUUAGGAAUCCUGGUUUGGCAAUGGAGCAUAAAGCAGACAAAAAGUAUAGCAGAAUAGUCUAGAUCAUGGUUUCCCAACCUCAGUACUACUGACAUUUUGGGCUGCAUAGUUCUUUGUUACAGGGGUUAUUCUGUGCAUUCUGAUUGUCUACAUGGCAGGAGAUUAGGGUUUGGGCCUCAGAAUAUUGGCAGAUAGUUUUAUAACCAACUGCGUCAACCUACUGACUUUUAGAAUAGCUGACAAAAAUAAAAAUGGUUUCUUUGCCACAGGAAAUUCAUCAUCAAUGCUUGCCAAAGAACUUAAUGGCCUAGAGAAAAGAGGUCUCAGAAGUAGAUCAUUCUGCAUAUUAGAAAUCUCUAGAGGACACUCCCAAGCUACAGAUAAUGUGUUCUACACUCAUUAGUGAGAAAGUGGCUGAUGUCAGGAUUUUUCUCCCUACCCCCCACCUCCAAGUCACGUAUUGCUCAACGGCCACUUUGAGUAAGGAAUGCCCAAUCUGCUGCAGACAGAGAAGCUACUGAUCUGUAAUUUUGCUAGGUUUGCAUUCACCUUUCCAAAAUUUUGUUUUUGGCAAUUGAUAAAGUAGAUGAAUGCAGCUGAGCCUGCCAAUGAAGAGCUAUGAUUUACCAAGAUAUAUCUUUGUCUAAAGGAGAAUCAGUGAAGUACAGCCCACUGGUUGGCUGCUUAUUUUUGUAAAUAGUUUUAUUGGAACCCAGUCAUGCCCAUUUAUUUAUACACAGUCUCUGGCUACCCUGGAGCUCCAAAGGCAGAGGUUGAGUAGUUACCACAGAGACCAUAUGACCUAUAAGCCUAUAAUAUUUAGUAAUAUUUAAGAAAAAGUUUGCUGAUCCCUGGUCUAAAAGAAAAUGCCUAUGUUGUACAAAAUUGUGGACUUAGAUUCUCAUUCUGUUGCUGGGGAUGACAGAUUCCCAUUUUUUUAAUUCCAAUAAUUAUCAUUAAGUGAGUUAGGCAUUGAGUGACUUAGGCACAAUGCUAAGUGCUUGGGGUAUAUUAGUGAACAAGGUUCAUAAAGAUCUUUACCUUCAUUGAGCUUAUAUAUUAUAGUGAUGAGUGAGGGAGAUAAGACAAUAACAAUAAAUUACAUAGUAUGCAAGAAGGUGAUUAAGUGCUAAGGGAAAAAGAAAAAGUGUAAGGCAAGAAAACUGGGAUUGGAAAUACUGAUGAGAUAUUGCAAUUAAAAGAGGAUGAUGGUUAUGCACUAUUGGUGGGAAUGCAGACUGGUACAACCACUGUGGAAAACAGUAUGGGGUUUCCUCAAAAAAUAAAAAAUAAAAUUACCAUAUGAUCCAGUAAUUCCACUAUGGGGUAUUCACCCAAAGAAUAUGAAAACACUAAUUCAUAAAGAUAUAUGCAUCCCUAUGUUUAUAGAAGCAUUAUUUACAAUAGUCAAAAUGUGGAAGCAGCCCAAGUGUCCAAUGAUAGAUGAAUGGAUAAAGAAGAAAUGGUGUGUGUGUGUGUGUGUGUGUGUGUGUGUGUGUGUAACAGAAUAUUAGCCAUAAAAAAGAAUGAAAUCUUACCAUUUGCAACAACGUGGAUGAAUCUGGAGGGAAUAGUGCUAAGUGAAGUAAGUCAGAGAAAGACAAAUACCAAAUGAUUUCACUCAUCUGUGGAAUUUAAGAAGUAAAUGAACAAAGAAAAAUAGAGACAAAGCAAAAAACAGACUCUUAAUAAUGGAGAAUAAACUGGUGGUUACCAAAGGGAAGGUGGGUAUGGGUUAAAUAGAUUUAGAGGAUUAAGAGCAUACUUACCAUACUUACCACAAUGAACACGGAGUAAUGUAUAGACUUGUUGCAUCACUAUAUUGUACACAUGAAACAAAUAUAACAGUGUAUGUUAACUAUACUGGAAUUAAAAUUUCAAAAAAGAGGAUGAUGGUUGGGGAAGGUCUGAUGUUUAAGCAAAGAUGUAAAAGAAGUGAGAGAAUAUGCUUUGUGGGACAUUCCAGGCAGAGUCAAUAGCCAAUUAAAAAAUUCUCAGGUGCCUGACUUUGUUCAGUAACAGCAAGGAUGCAGGUGUAGCUGAAGAGAGACAACAAGAGGACAGGACUAGGAAGUGAGGUCAAAGAGGUAACGGUGGGGCAGUGCAGGGUGGCGGGGGACAGGGAGAUCACAGAAGACUGCUGUAAGAACCUUGGCUUUUACUGUGAAUGAAAUGGGAAGUAGAGGAGUGAAUAACAAGUUUUUACUAUACAGGUUUUAAAAGGAUCACCCUUAGCUGCUAGCAGGGUAAAGGUGGAAGCAGGGAGGUCUGUUAGAGACCAGGUGAGAGAUGGCAUGGUGGCUCUGAUGAGAGUGGUAGAAAAACAGGUGGUAGAAAUGGGCAGAUUCUGGAUAUAUCCUGAGGGCAAAAACAGACUUCCCUGUUAUACUAGAGAUGGAAUAUAACAGAAAAAGAGUUAUAAAGGAUGACUCUGUGUUUUAGCUUGAAAGGACGGAUGGAGUUGCCAUCCACUGAGAUGGAGAAAGCUAUGAGUGUUGCAGUUUGAGGAAGGAAUAUCAGAAAUGUAAUACUGGGUGUGCUGAGUUUGAGAUGAGCUUUGGAUAUCCACGUGGGGAAUGUCAAGUGGGAUAUAUGGGUUUGGAGCUCUGGAGAGAGGUCUGGGAGAUAUAAAUUUGGGAACUGUUGACAAAGGGAUGAUAUCUAGAAGCAUGGAACCGGGUGAAAUAUCACCAGGGACUGAGUAUCUGUGCACAGAGGAGAGGAUGGAGGACCGCGCCCUAUAGCACAUCAUUGUAAGAGAUAAGGAAGCUAAUGACCACAUAUCAAGGAGGUGGCUGAUAAAUGCUAAUAAAUCAUUUUUCUUUUACUGUGGCUCAACAAAAGUACUUUUUCCCUUGAAUGUGGCCCAAAAGUUUACAAUCUGGAAACUCCAAACGAUUUAAUGUUUAAAGGUCAUUCUUUCAAUACAAAAAUGGCCCCUGUCUCAUAUCCGACCACUUUGGGAAGUCCUGAGACUUCAGUUUCUCCGAGUUGAUUCUCUAUCUCCUGGGUCAGACUGUGAUGCAGUCUUCUUGUCUCCUGUUCCUUUGGCUAUUGCCCUCUUGCCUGUAAUGUGCCAGUCCUCUCCCUUCAUUCCUCCAAAUGGCCCACCACCAAGAUGGUUGGGUGUAUCCAAAUUGCACACAAGUUUUAGAGUUAAUGGAAGGCUACAGCACAGAGCAGAAAACAACUCCAAAUUCAAUGCACACAUAGAAAUGGAAAGCUCAUAGAAAUGGAAAUCCAUUCUCCACUAUUUUGGAAACUUCUCACUGGCCAUCUCCAAUAGGCCCCUGCCUCCUGCUAUGUUUCUGGCAAACAUCCCAUCUCAGUUCUUUUCAUCAACCCCCCUCCGCUUCUUUCUUACCAAGGCCUCAUUCUCUUUUUCUAGGGCAUCCAAUGAAAAUUCAAAUUUCUUUCAUUUUAUUAUUUGGAGUAACUGAUCUUUCUUUGUGUCCCCCUGGCCCACUCAAGCUAACCCCAGGGAGUUGACUUUUCUCAACCCCAAAAGGUCCAUCUAGAUAUUUAGCUCAGCAAACAACAAGCUCUCUAGCAAUACAUUAUGCCAUACUCCUGAAAUCAGAAAAGUUAUUCCUUUUGAUAAAAUAAAACAGAAAAAAAAAACCCCACUAUCACUAACAAGCAUUAUGGUGGUUAAGAGUUCAGGUUCUGGAAUCAGUACAUCUACAUUUAAACCUCAUCAAUUUACUUAACUUGGGCAGUGCUAAGCCUUAGUUUUCUCUUUUCUAAAAGGGAGAUGGUAAUGGUAUCUACAUUACAGGUUUAUGUGAUUACUGAAUGGGAAAAUUCAUGCCAAAUCCUUAGAAAUCCCCAGUGUACAGAAAGAGCUCAAUAAAAGUUAUUAUCUUUUAAACUUCAAGAAAUAAAUUUAAACAAAGAUAAAACUCAAUGUUGGAAGGGCUACAUGGGAUUAGUUUUUAUGUUAUAUAUUUUUAAUGGUACUAAACAUUGAUUCUUUUUUUUUUUUUUUAAUUUUUUUUUUCAAUGUUUAUUUAUUUUUGGGACAGAGAGAGACAGAGCAUGAACGGGGGAGGGGCAGAGAGAGAGGGAGACACAGAAUCGGAAACAGGCUCCAGGCUCUGAGCCAUCAGCCCAGAGCCCGACACGGGGCUCGAACUCACGGACCGCGAGAUCGUGACCUGGCUGAAGUCGGACGCUUAACCGACUGCGCCACCCAGGCGCCCCUAAACAUUGAUUCUUAUGAGAAUUCUCUGGCUAUCUAUAUGAAGGGAUAAAAAUUGCUCAUAUGCUUUGCUGGUCCAAUUCCACUUUAGCAUUCCUCAAGGAGAUAAUCUGAAGUGAAAAAGUUACUUAUGAAGAGUUUGUAGCACUACUAUUCAUAACAAUAUCAGAACUAACCAAAAAGCCUAGCAGUGGAGAGAGGGCUAAGAAAAUCAUGACCUAUUAACUUGAUGUAAUCCCAAGUUACCUUUAAACAUAACAAGUUGACAAUGAUUCAGGGUGGACAUUUGUAAAAAAGCAGAAUUAAAAGUGCUUACACAUGAUGUGUCUGGCUGGCUCAGCUGGUAGAACAUGCAACUCUUCUUUAGGGGUUGUGAGUUCAAGCCCAACGUUGGAUGUAGAGCUUACUUAAAAAAAAAAAAAAAAAGGAAAAAGUGCUUAUGCAGGGAUUACAACUAUGUAAAAUGUGAAAACUUCAAAUCAGCAGAGAAAUUGAAGAAAUGUGCAUAUUAGAGUUACAUGUUUAGUGAGUUUCUCUUAUUUUCUGUCAGGUUGCUUAAGUUCAUCAACCUCCCUACCCCCACAAUAGUUUGCUCUUAUACAAGCAUGAGAUAUUAUGCUGAUAGCAUGGUAUUUUGAUUCCGGCUGCAAUGCCAUGGAAGAAUGAUGGGCUGUUUCUGAUAAAUUGCUUCUAUAUUUGCAUCCUUUCAUUCUACAAAUAACACCCAGUGUCUAUGUGCCAGGCACUAUAUUAAGCAGCAGGGAUUCAAUGAUGAAAAAAUCAGAUAUGGUCCCUAGCCUCUAGGGCAUCAACAGUUUAGUGUGAAGAGAGAUAUAACACCAAAAAUUAUAUGUGAUUUGGGCACAUUGAAAGCAAAUUAUUCUGGUGCAUCAGGGAAGAUUUCCCUGAGGAAGAGAUUACAUGGGAAUUUCCCUGAGGAAGAACAUGGGGGAGUUAAAGGGGGAGAGAACAGUAGGUAGGAAGGCUUUAAGGGGAAAAAAGAAUGGGUUGUGUUGGAGGAACUAUAAGAAGGUCUGCAGAGUUGGAGUACAGUCAAGUAGGGCAAGGGUGGUCUAGCUCAUAAAGAGCAAGAAAAGCAGGAAGGUGCCAGAUUAUUCUGAGCUUUAAUAUAUGGGCAGAAUAUAAAAUGGACUGAGGGAUGGAAAGUAUGCAUGAAUACUGGAGACUACCCUAGAAGCCAUUGUGGCAGUCCAGAUGAAAGCUGGCGGUUGUUUGGACUAGAGUGGUGGCAUUGGCAAUAGAGAGAAAUACACAUAUUUAAAAGAUAUUUAAGAUAUGGAAUGAACAUCACUUUGAGAUUGAUAGAUGUGGAAUCUGAGAGAGACACACACGUCAGGGAUGACUCCUAGAUUUCUGGCUAGAACUGGGUGAGUAGUGGUGUCAUUUUCUGAGGUAGAGAAUACUGAUAAAGUAGGUUUGAUGAUGGGGGAAGAUGAGUUGAGCUUUAGGAUUGGCUGGGUUCAAGUUGCUUAUGAAAUAUCCAAGGGAGAUGUCCAGUAAAAGGAUAUACAGGUAGAAUUUUGGAAGAGUUCAGGAGAGAAGUGUCCAACUCUAUCAUUAGCCUGGUGAAUGGCUGGUAGAGCCUAAACCCUGAGAAUCUCUAACAAGUUGAGAAGAAACUGGCAAAUAAGAAAGAGUGGUCAGUGAAGUACUAGGAAAACUAGGUGUCACAUCAAUUAAGGAAGAGUGGUUUGAAAAGGAGGGUUUAAUGUUGCUAGGAAGACUAGUCAAAUAAGAACCGUAAGUGAUCUUAUUGAGAAGUUUUUGUACAGUGGUGGGAGCAGAAUCUAGAUUAACGUGGUUUGAGAAGUGGGAGGGAGGUGAGAAAUUGUGACACUUUAGAUUUGGCUGUUAAAGAGGAGGAAAGCAAAAGGUCAAUAUCUAGAGGGAGACAUGAGGUUAUGCUUUUAUUUAUUUUUAAAGAUGGAGAGAUUUAAUACAUCUAUACAUCCAGGUGCUAUUGGAAAGGAGCCAGCAGAGAAGAGUGGACAUGAUGACGAUGGUGUGUGUGUGUGCACGUGUGUGUGUAUGCCGUUUGCACAAGGUCCUGUGUACAGGUUAAGGGAUUAGCCUUUCCCUUAUGAGAGUCACUGCAAUAGGAGUGAAGAAUGCUCAAAAGUGGUAUAGAUACAGGUAGGUUCAUAGAUUUGGAGUCAGGAAUGUUGAAGGGGUACAUGGUAGUUCCUGUUUUCUUUCUGAAGUUGCAGAGUGCAGGAGGAGGUAAGGGCUUUGCAGGCUUGUGGAAUGUAGACUGAGGUGGCAGCAGUGGAGAGCCAGAGUGUGAGCUGGCUGGGGAAGCACAGCCCAGUGCAGAAAACUUUGACCCAGCUUGUGUCAUGGGGAGAGGGUUCCAAACAGGUUUCUUCGUUUGGGUAUCCAGAAGGAAAAGAGGCACAAAGUAAUCCUUCUCUCUUGUCUUUUAGCACAAACCACAGGAUCUAAUUAUUUUUUUCUAGUUUCCUGAUAACUCUUCCUACUGCUGACACUGAAGUUGGCUUCCAUUUCCUUUGACACUCUGACAUGUUAGCUUUUCCCUACAUAAGAAAACUUCACUUACGUGCAUUUAGCACCAGAUUUUUCCUUAGUGGAAUUUCUGUCUCAUUUUCCGCACUUGCGUACAGAGUGCUCCAUCUUUGCUUAGUUUUAUUUGUUUUUUAAAAAAAUUUUGUGUACAUUUAUUCAUUUUUGAGAGACCGAGAACAAGCGGGGGAGAGGCAGAGAGAGAGGAAGACAGAAUGAGAAGCAGGCUCCAGGCUCUGAGCUGUCAGCACAGAGCCCCACGCGGGGCUCAAACUCACAAACCACAAAAUCAUGACCUGAGCCAAAGUCGGACGCUUAACCGACUGAGCCACCCAGGCGCCCCUUUGCUCAGUUUUACUUGUAUAAAAUGAAAUUCCUUUAAGCUCUUUUUUAUGAGAUACCCAAGGCUGCUGUUCUCUUUCUACUUCCCAUCUUUCAUAUGCAUGGAAUGUGAAAGGAAGUACAAUGUAGGGCUUUUAAAAUGCAUUAGAUCGGUAGAUCAAUGUCAGGAGCUGAUCCAAACAUGACCUAACAUAUAAAGCAAAGCCAGUUAUAUAGGUUCUGCUACCCAGCAGUUAUUUGAGAUGACAAUUUCUCAAUAUUACUGUCUGUAAUAUACCAGCUGAAUUUAUGAAAUGUAUAAAGUGAGAGAUUACUUAAAAUGUUCAAGUAAGGAGUUCUGGUCACUCUCAAUCAUGUGACUGAACUUCUCUGAGUUUGUUUCUUAUCUAUGACUAGAAUAAUGAUACCUGGCAAAACAUGACAAUUAAGUGAGAUUAUAUAAUUAUAAUAUCUAGUAACAUAAAGUAACUUGUACAUUAUAAAGUGAUAGGAAGAUUAGUUGUUGCCAUUUACAAUCCUUGACUAAGUUUUUAACUAUCAGGCCAUUUUUUAUACAGCUGUUUAGUUACAAUAUAACUAAGUUUUCAGGUGCACCUGGUUGGCUCAUUUGGUGGGAGUGUGUGACUCUUUAAUCUCAGGGUUGUGAGUUUGAGCCCCACAUUGGGUGUAGAGAUUACUUAAAUAAAAUCUUAAAAAAACAACUAAUUUUUUAAACUUGUUGCUAGACUUAAAAUGGAACUCGGUAGUGAGAUAGAUGGCAAUAGGUUUAUUUUAGUGUCUACUGUAUGCUUUACCUAUAAUAUUUAAUCCUUAUAGCACUUGCUUAAACACACUACUACUUUCAUUUUGCAAAUGAGGCUACUUAACCUUUUUUUUUUUUUAAGUUUAUUUAUUUGUGAGAGAGAGUGAGAGAGAGAAAGAGUGCAAGUGGGGGAGAGGGGCAGAGGGAGAGACAGAGUAUCCCAAGCAGGUUCCACACUAAGGCUUGAUUUCAAGAGUUGAAAUCAAGAGUUGGCUGCUUACCAGACUGAGCCACCCAAGCACCCCAAGGCUAUUCAAUCUUAAACCUGCCUGAGGCUAUACAUUUAUAACAGAUGGGGCUUGAAUUUGAUUAAAACACUCAUGUUCUUUCCCAUAAGCACAGCAUGUAAAUUUUUGUAUUUUCUCCUUUUCUAUUUUAAGUGAUGGAAGAAAAAAACUUCAGUAUCAGUAGAUAAACAAGACUAAGAACUUGUCAUUUUAAUGAAAUAUGUAUUAUUAAAACAUAUGGUUAAUAUGGAGAUAGUAAAAUUUAUAGUAAAAAUAAUAAGGUAUUCUGAUUAUAUCAGAAAUAUAAUCCACUUGUGGUUUUUUCAUUAUUCUGAUCCAGUUAGGACUAGUGUUUAGGAACUUUAACAGCCAUCCAACAAAAGAGGAGAAAUAUUUAUGAUUUGAACGGUAUUAAAUAUCUGUAUUAAUAUAUUACCUGUAUUAAUAUUUAUCUGUAUUAAUAUUAAUAUAUUAUCACUGUAUACCUAAAACUAAUGUAACAUGUGUCAGCUAUACUCAAAUAAGAAAAAAAAAGCCCAUUGAUAAUUUUUUAUUUUUGACCACCAUCUAUAGCUGGGUUUAUAAGUGGUAACUUUUCUAAAUUCCAAGAGACAUGGGUUGGACAAGUAUGAAUAUACUUUUGGAGCAAUACAUCAGGGUAUUUGAAAGCAGGGAAGUUCAGUGUAACAAUUGCUCAAUCCAGUUCUAAAAAUCUUGCUUUCCUUUUGAAUAUUUUGAAGCUGCGUUUUGCAGACUGGAUUCUUUUGACUCUGAGAAAAGGAAACAAUACCACAAAAGAUCUUUUCCCUAUUUUGUAUCACAUAGCAUCAAUGGUGUAUGGUCAAGCAAGUACAUGACCUAUGGCUAUUAAAGUAUCUAGUGAAAGGUUACAAGUCAACUCUUAAAGUCUCCUGUCACUUAUAAUGCUAAUACUUAAAAAUGCCAUACUCAAAAGUUUUAUAGAAGACUAACUUGUAGCACAGUCCAAUCACGUUAUUCAUUUGGAAAAGGAGACCUUAGAUUUUUUUUUUUAAGACUUUACUAGUUUAGUUCAAAAUGUAAUUUAUUUCUGGUAUGACUUUUAGGGAGUCAGGAAAGAUUGCUCUCAUAUGUAUUAACUUAUAAGAGGGAGACAAUCUGACAUUUAAACAGACAUACUUUGCAUUAUAGAAACAACUUUUCCCAGAGAGCAUUUGCCUUUGUCAUAGUCUAGACUAGAUACCUAAGUCAACAGUUACUAAAAUAAUAUUAUCUUCUUAUCUUUAUCUACAAUCAUGGCUUCAGCAUUCCAUGUCACUUCUCUUACUCCCCUUCCCUCCCUAUUUCACCUCUAUGGCUGAUUGCCAGUUCCUAAUCUUUUUUUUUUUUUUGCCUGUUCCCAUCUUCAUUAGGUCUUUUUAUCCAAAACAUACUGACUUGAAAUGGAAACUUUUUCUGUAGCUUUCUCAGACUUUCAGUUUCAACUCAUGUUCACUUGGGCCUGCUAUGUAACCUGUAUUACUUACACUGUGGUUUCCCCCCACUCCCCUGACUAAAAAGAAUGGAGUUACUGCCUUUGUGGUUACUGAGUGGUGAGAUUAUUUUGGGCUAUGAGGGCUGGGGGCAAGGUUAGGUUGGGGAGGGAGGUGAAAUAAAUUUCACAGCUGAAACUAAUCUUUGGUUUUUAAGUCUCGUAAGCACUGCAAUCUAGUUUUCAUUAGGAAUAGAAUUAAUGUGUGUACCCAACAUAUCGGGUUGUUAAUUAUUUGAAACAACUCAGAAAAAAACACAUCAAUGAUUUAGGAGGGAUAGCAUUUCUUUUUAUUCUUGGUUCCAUAUUUUAAAAAUUACAUCGUUUGCAUUUUGAAUUAAGUGAAAGGGUUGAGAAAGCUCACUUUAUCUGCCUUAUAACUGUAAAAAAAAAAACAAGCCAACUUUCAGUCUGCAAGUUUCAGAUAUGAUAAUAGUCCUGAAAUCACCAUGGUUGAAAACAAUUCUGCCAGAUUAUGGAUAAAGAGGAAAGGAAAAACUAUGACUAUUAGAAAGCAGCAAUAUUUAUUAGAAAUAACAGGCAACCUUGGGAAGUUAUUGGCUAUGAGUUUUAAAACCACAGAACUUUGGAUAUAAAAGGAAGGAGUGUUGCAUGGCUAACAGACAAGGUGAAGAAAAGCUGUUAUCAAUGCAGAGUAGCAAGUCAACCCAUUCACUGAGCAAACUAAAAGGUCCAACAGCCAUUUAUUUUAAUGAAGUUAAAGAUUCCCCCUUUCUUAAAACAUUCCAGGAAUAGAGUGGGGGAAGAUGGGCUAACAUCAUCUUUAUCAAAUAUCUGCAAAGGUUACAAAGAUAGCUGGGAAAGCCUCUGCACAGAGAAUGGAAGAGGUAUCACAGAACUGAAUAAAUGAUUCUUAGAAUAUUUAGAUCUUGAAUUAGGUUAGAUCUUGACCUGCUUCUAGCCAGUUGAUCUCUUUAAAUAUGCAGGGCUGUGCAAUAAGUUUUUGAUUCUUCUAUAAUGUUCUUCUUGCAUUCUUCUGGAUAUGACAUACACUUGGUUUCUUUAAAGAUCACUGCUUUUCCUUUGAAUAAGCCAAUAGGAAUAAGGGAGACAAAAAGGGAAAUAAUAAAUGUUCAGACAGCAUGGUUUUAAG
Molecule: long non-coding RNA, 11896 nt
Filed under: Lynx pardinus (Iberian lynx)
Lineage: Eukaryota; Metazoa; Chordata; Mammalia; Carnivora; Felidae
Rfam family: tRNA (bases 8836-8910)
Source: RNAcentral